Molecule: ribosomal RNA, 477 nt
Filed under: uncultured bacterium
Lineage: Bacteria
Description: partial 16S ribosomal RNA
Rfam family: Bacterial small subunit ribosomal RNA
Source: RNAcentral
AUUGAACGCUGGCGGCAUGCCUUACACAUGCAAGUCGAACGGUAACAGGUUAAGCUGACGAGUGGCGAACGGGUGAGUAAUGUAUCGGAACGUGCCCAGUCGUGGGGGAUAACUGCUCGAAAGAGCAGCUAAUACCGCAUACGACCUGAGGGUGAAAGCGGGGGCUCGCAAGACCUCGCGCGAUUGGAGCGGCCGAUAUCGGAUUAGGGAGUUGGUGAGGUAAAGGCUCACCAAGCCGACGAUCUGUAGCUGGUCUGAGAGGACGACCAGCCACACUGGGACUGAGACACGGCCCAGACUCCUACGGGAGGCAGCAGUGGGGAAUUUUGGACAAUGGGCGCAAGCCUGAUCCAGCCAUGCCGCGUGCGGGAAGAAGGCCUUCGGGUUGUAAACCGCUUUUGUCAGGGAAGAAAAGGUUCUGGCUAAUACCUGGGACUCAUGACGGUACCUGAAGAAUAAGCACCGGCUAACUACGUG